Molecule: ribosomal RNA, 306 nt
Filed under: Triticum aestivum (bread wheat)
Lineage: Eukaryota; Viridiplantae; Streptophyta; Magnoliopsida; Poales; Poaceae
Description: partial small subunit ribosomal RNA
Source: RNAcentral
AUGGCCAACAAUCUAAACCUUGCACUCCAAGCUUCAAACCCUGCCUUCAAGGACGACUUUUUGAAAUGGGGAUGCAAAGUUCCUGCUGUUCCAACAAACUCAUACGGGUACGAAUCUUGUCAAUACAUCACAAUCUUAAUUGAUUCCUUCAACUUGCAUGUAACAUUUCAUACAUGCAGUCCCCUGUCUGGUUAUUUGGUUUCCAAUUUAAUGCACUCAUGGCACGAUGGGAUGCUACAUUUUCCAGUACCCAAGGUAACUAUUGACACCAUGCUCAUUUCUACACACAUUACACAUGUUUUUUAA